Molecule: ribosomal RNA, 497 nt
Filed under: uncultured bacterium
Lineage: Bacteria
Description: partial 16S ribosomal RNA
Rfam family: Bacterial small subunit ribosomal RNA
Source: RNAcentral
GAUGAACGCUGGCGGCGUGCCUAAUACAUGCAAGUCGAGCGAACGGACGAGAAGCUUGCUUCUCUGAUGUUAGCGGCGGACGGGUGAGUACCACGUGGAUAACCUACCUAUAAGACUGGGAUAACUUCGGGAAACCUUAGCUAAUACCGGAUAAUAUUUUGAACCGCAUGGUUCAAAAGUGAAAGACGGUCUUGCUGUCACUUAUAGAUGGAUCCGCGCUGCAUUAGCUAGUUGGUAAGGUAACGGCUUACCAAGGCAACGAUGCAUAGCCGACCUGAGAGGGUGAUCGGCCACACUGGAACUGAGACACGGUCCAGACUCCUACGGGAGGCAGCAGUAGGGAAUCUUCCGCAAUGGGCGAAAGCCUGACGGAGCAACGCCGCGUGAGUGAUGAAGGUCUUCGGAUCGUAAAACUCUGUUAUUAGGGAAGAACAUAUGUGUAAGUAACUGUGCACAUCUUGACGGUACCUAAUCAGAAAGCCACGGCUAACUACGUG